Molecule: ribosomal RNA, 252 nt
Filed under: Romboutsia timonensis
Lineage: Bacteria; Bacillati; Bacillota; Clostridia; Peptostreptococcales; Peptostreptococcaceae
Also listed under: 1 other name
Description: partial 16S ribosomal RNA
Rfam family: Bacterial small subunit ribosomal RNA
Source: RNAcentral
UACGUAGGGGGCUAGCGUUAUCCGGAAUUACUGGGCGUAAAGGGUGCGUAGGUGGUUUCUUAAGUCAGAGGUGAAAGGCUACGGCUCAACCGUAGUAAGCCUUUGAAACUGGGAAACUUGAGUACAGGAGAGGAGAGUGGAAUUCCUAGUGUAGCGGUGAAAUGCGUAGAUAUUAGGAGGAACACCAGUUGCGAAGGCGGCUCUCUGGACUGUAACUGACACUGAGGCACGAAAGCGUGGGGAGCAAACAGG